GCUGCUCUUUGCUAGGCCAAAUAGUAUCCCAGCCUUCUGCCGGCUACUAGCUACCUGUAGAGGUAUAUGAAGUUGAAGAAAUAUGGAGAUCAACACAAAACUGUUCAUCAGUGUUACCUGUACCAGCUUUUUCACCUUUCAGCUUCUUUUCUACUUUGUAAGUUACUGGUUUUCAGCAAAAGUUUCUCCAGGUUUCAAUAGUCUCAGCUUCAAAAAGAAGAUUGAAUGGAACUCAAGGGUAGUAUCCACAUGCCAUUCUUUGGUGGUUGGUAUUUUUGGCCUGUACAUUUUCUUAUUCGAUGAGGCUACUAAAGCUGAUCCACUUUGGGGUGGUCCAUCACUUGCAAAC
This 349-nucleotide small RNA is filed under the name Pongo abelii (Sumatran orangutan). RNAcentral's name for it is "processed transcript". The record is from RNAcentral. Lineage: Eukaryota; Metazoa; Chordata; Mammalia; Primates; Hominidae.